RNAcentral lists this small RNA (276 nucleotides) under uncultured Limnobacter sp. Its description in RNAcentral is "5' ureB small RNA". It matches the Rfam family "5' ureB small RNA". The record is from RNAcentral. Lineage: Bacteria; Pseudomonadati; Pseudomonadota; Betaproteobacteria; Burkholderiales; Burkholderiaceae.
AAUUUGCUGUGGGCAAAUGAAGUGGAUAUGUGCGUCAAUGCCCCCAGCAGUCAGAAUGCAACCUUCCCCAGCAAUGACUUCAGUGCCCGGGCCAAUCAGAAUGUCGACACCUUGUUGUACAUCUGGGUUGCCCGCUUUGCCCACCCUGAAAAUGCGACCAUUUUUAAUGCCCACAUCUGCCUUCACGAUACCCCAAUGAUCCAGCACCAGCGCAUUGGUGAUGACCAAAUCUACGGAAAGGGUACACGACACCUGGCUUUGCCCCAUGCCGUCGCG